RNAcentral lists this ribosomal RNA (253 nucleotides) under uncultured bacterium. RNAcentral describes it as "partial 16S ribosomal RNA". It matches the Rfam family "Bacterial small subunit ribosomal RNA", at positions 524 to 776 of the family's 1533-position model. The record is from RNAcentral.
UACAGAGGUCCCGAGCGUUGUUCGGAUUCACUGGGCGUAAAGGGUGCGUAGGUGGUGAGGAAAGUCGGAUGUGAAAUCUCCGGGCUUAACCCGGAAAUGGCAUUGGAAACUACCUUGCUAGAGGUUUUGAGGGGGGACUGGAAUUCUCGGUGUAGCAGUGAAAUGCGUAGAUAUCGGGAGGAACACCAGUGGCGAAGGCGGCCGGCUGGGGGUGACCUGACGCUGAGGCGCGAAAGCGUGGGGAGCGAACCGG